Molecule: ribosomal RNA, 230 nt
Filed under: uncultured bacterium
Lineage: Bacteria
Description: partial 16S ribosomal RNA
Rfam family: Bacterial small subunit ribosomal RNA
Source: RNAcentral
AAAGCGUGUGCAGGCGGCUUGUUGCGUCUAUAGUGAAAUCUCCCGGCUCAACUGGGAGGGUGUUAUGGAUACGGGCAAGCUUGAGGGCUGGAGAGGGAAGUAGAACUCCCGGUGGAACAGUGAAAUGUGUAGAGAUCGGGAAGAAUACCAGAGGUGAAGACGGCUUCCUGGCCAGUGCCUGACGCUCAGACACGAAAGCGUGGGGAGCAAACAGGAUUAGAUACCCCUGU